RNAcentral lists this ribosomal RNA (466 nucleotides) under Vibrio alginolyticus. Its description in RNAcentral is "bacterial SSU rRNA". It matches the Rfam family "Bacterial small subunit ribosomal RNA", at positions 213 to 671 of the family's 1533-position model. The record is from RNAcentral. Lineage: Bacteria; Pseudomonadati; Pseudomonadota; Gammaproteobacteria; Vibrionales; Vibrionaceae.
UCUCGCGUCAGGAUAUGCCUAGGUGGGAUUAGCUAGUUGGUGAGGUAAGGGCUCACCAAGGCGACGAUCCCUAGCUGGUCUGAGAGGAUGAUCAGCCACACUGGAACUGAGACACGGUCCAGACUCCUACGGGAGGCAGCAGUGGGGAAUAUUGCACAAUGGGCGCAAGCCUGAUGCAGCCAUGCCGCGUGUGUGAAGAAGGCCUUCGGGUUGUAAAGCACUUUCAGUCGUGAGGAAGGUGGUGUAGUUAAUAGCUGCAUUAUUUGACGUUAGCGACAGAAGAAGCACCGGCUAACUCCGUGCCAGCAGCCGCGGUAAUACGGAGGGUGCGAGCGUUAAUCGGAAUUACUGGGCGUAAAGCGCAUGCAGGUGGUUUGUUAAGUCAGAUGUGAAAGCCCGGGGCUCAACCUCGGAAUAGCAUUUGAAACUGGCAGACUAGAGUACUGUAGAGGGGGGUAGAAUUUCA